UAUGGUAGUGCCAGCCGCCGCGGUAAUACGUAGGGGGCAAGCGUUAUCCGGAAUUACUGGGUGUCAAGGGUGCGUAGGUGGUAUGGCAAGUCAGAAGUGAAAACCCAGGGCUUAACUCUGGGACUGCUUUUGAAACUGUCAGACUGGAGUGCAGGAGAGGUAAGCGGAAUUCCUAGUGUAGCGGUGAAAUGCGUAGAUAUUAGGAGGAACAUCAGUGGCGAAGGCGGCUUACUGGACUGAAACUGACACUGAGGCACGAAAGCGUGGGGAGCAAACAGG
Molecule: ribosomal RNA, 279 nt
Filed under: Anaerostipes hadrus ATCC 29173 = JCM 17467
Lineage: Bacteria; Bacillati; Bacillota; Clostridia; Lachnospirales; Lachnospiraceae
Description: Anaerostipes hadrus DSM 3319 partial 16S ribosomal RNA
Rfam family: Bacterial small subunit ribosomal RNA
Source: RNAcentral